This 337-nucleotide ribosomal RNA is filed under the name Halomonas koreensis. RNAcentral describes it as "bacterial SSU rRNA". It matches the Rfam family "Bacterial small subunit ribosomal RNA", at positions 96 to 436 of the family's 1533-position model. The record is from RNAcentral. Lineage: Bacteria; Pseudomonadati; Pseudomonadota; Gammaproteobacteria; Oceanospirillales; Halomonadaceae.
CGGCGGACGGGUGAGUAAUGCAUAGGAAUCUGCCCGGUAGUGGGGGAUAACCUGGGGAAACUCAGGCUAAUACCGCAUACGUCCUACGGGAGAAAGCAGGGGAUCUUCGGACCUUGCGCUAUCGGAUGAGCCUAUGUCGGAUUAGCUAGUUGGUGAGGUAACGGCUCACCAAGGCCGCGAUCCGUAGCUGGUCUGAGAGGAUGAUCAGCCACAUCGGGACUGAGACACGGCCCGAACUCCUACGGGAGGCAGCAGUGGGGAAUAUUGGACAAUGGGCGAAAGCCUGAUCCAGCCAUGCCGCGUGUGUGAAGAAGGCCCUCGGGUUGUAAAGCACUUU